UACCUAUCUUCUUCUCUACCGUUUAUGUCUUUCUCAUCUUCACUACUAUGGGGUUUCACCAUCUCACCUUCAUAUGCAUUCAUUGCUAUUCCAAUAACUUCACUCCUCUAUUAUGUGCUUUUACUUAGGGUUCGUCGAUUCCAAUCUUCAUUGUAACGGCGAGGAUUCCAAAUGGUAAGGAUUGUUCUUCAAUUCCCUCUUAUUUAACUCUUAGCCCACUACUACACCUUCUUAUUGCCGUAAUUCAGUCAUUUGCAUAUAAUACAUCAUCUCACUAAUUCAAUUUCUCACUUCCCAAUCUGCCAAAAAAAUCCAUUGCGGCGAUCAUGGAUCCCCUUUCGUAUUUUUUGCGGAGCUUAAACCUAGCCACCUUGAGCAACGAUUACUAGGUAGAUUGCUCAGUUUCAAGCUGCACGUAACGUUAAAAAUCUGGCUGACUUCUGCCUUCGAGACUUCCAUCACGCUGUUAACAGCUUGCGUUUGUACCUGCGAUCGAUGAAUCGGGAACCAUGUCUUGCAGAGUAUUCUGUGUGAUCGAGCUUUGUACUCAUGGGGAGGUAGAGACAUUAUGAGGAAAAUUGUUGUACUGAGUGAGUUCUUGCUUCCUUGAAGAUAUGGAUUCUGAAGCUACAAGCACUCUUAUGGCUGCAGCAGAUAAAUGUGUGUCGGUUGACUUUCUUUUGUUUGAGAACCAGUCAAUCCAUCUAAGCCAGGAGAAGACCUCAGAUGCUUAUCGGAUCUUAACAAUUGUUCAAUUCAAAAAAGCGUUCCUGGUAGUAUCCAUAUUACUAGCUGCUUUUUAUAUUCUUUUUCAUACAAAGUAACUAAAUCUCUCAGAUUUUGAUGACUGGUU
Camelina sativa (false flax) is the source of this 853-nucleotide long non-coding RNA. RefSeq lists it as uncharacterized. The record is from RefSeq and is a predicted model, not a curated record. Lineage: Eukaryota; Viridiplantae; Streptophyta; Magnoliopsida; Brassicales; Brassicaceae.